GUGGGGAAUAUUGGACAAUGGGCGAAAGCCUGAUCCAGCCAUGCCGCGUGUGUGAAGAAGGUCUUCGGAUUGUAAAGCACUUUAAGUUGGGAGGAAGGGCAGUAAGUUAAUACCUUGCUGUUUUGACGUUACCAACAGAAUAAGCACCGGCUAACUUCGUGCCAGCAGCCGCGGUAAUACGAAGGGUGCAAGCGUUAAUCGGAAUUACUGGGCGUAAAGCGCGCGUAGGUGGUUUUGUAAGUUGGAGGUGAAAUACCCGGGCUCAACCUGGGAACUGCCUCCAAAACUGCAGGACUAGAGUACGGUAGAGGGUAGUGGAAUUUCCUGUGUAGCGGUGAAAUGCGUAGAUAUAGGAAGGAACACCAGUGGCGAAGGCGACUACCUGGACUGAUACUGACACUGAGGUGCGAAAGCGUGGGGAGCAAACAGGAUUAGAAACCCCAGUAGUCC
This 450-nucleotide ribosomal RNA is filed under the name uncultured bacterium. RNAcentral describes it as "bacterial SSU rRNA". It matches the Rfam family "Bacterial small subunit ribosomal RNA", at positions 354 to 796 of the family's 1533-position model. The record is from RNAcentral.